GAUGAACGCUGGCGGCGUGCCUAAUACAUGCAAGUCGAGCGAACAGACGAGGAGCUUGCUCCUCUGACGUUAGCGGCGGACGGGUGAGUAACACGUGGAUAACCUACCUAUAAGACUGGGAUAACUUCGGGAAACCGGAGCUAAUACCGGAUAAUAUAUUGAACCGCAUGGUUCAAUAGUGAAAGACGGUUUUGCUGUCACUUAUAGAUGGAUCCGCGCCGCAUUAGCUAGUUGGUAAGGUAACGGCUUACCAAGGCAACGAUGCGUAGCCGACCUGGGAGGGUGAUCGGCCACACCGGAACUGAGACACGGUCCAGACUCCUACGGGAGGCAGCAGUAGGGAAUCUUCCGCAAUGGGCGAAAGCUUGACGGAGCAACGCCGCGUGAGUGAUGAAGGUCUUCGGAUCGUAAAACUCUGUUAUUAGGGAAGAACAAAUGUGUAAGUAACUAUGCACGUCUUGACGGUACCUAAUCAGAAAGCCACGGCUAACUACGUG
Molecule: ribosomal RNA, 497 nt
Filed under: uncultured bacterium
Lineage: Bacteria
Description: partial 16S ribosomal RNA
Rfam family: Bacterial small subunit ribosomal RNA
Source: RNAcentral